AGCGAACGCUGGCGGCAGGCCUAACACAUGCAAGUCGAACGAACUCUUCGGAGUUAGUGGCGGACGGGUGAGUAACACGUGGGAACGUGCCUUUAGGUUCGGAAUAACUCAGGGUAACUUGAGCUAAUACCGGAUGUGCCCUUCGGGGGAAAGAUUUAUCGACCUUGGAGCGGCCCGCGUCUGAUUAGCUAGUUGGUGAGGUAAAGGCUCACCACGGCGACGCUCAGUAGCUGGUCUGAGAGGAUGAGCAGCCACAUUGGGACUGGGACGCGGCCCAAACUCCUACGGGAGGGGGGAGUGGGGGAUCUUGCGAAAUGGGGGAAAGGCUGACGCAGCCCGGCCGGGUGAAUGAUGAAGGUGGUAGGAUAGUAAAAUUCUUUCAUCGGGGACGAUAAUGACGGUACCCGGAGAAGAAGCCCCGGCUAACUUCGUG
RNAcentral lists this ribosomal RNA (433 nucleotides) under uncultured bacterium. RNAcentral's name for it is "partial 16S ribosomal RNA". It matches the Rfam family "Bacterial small subunit ribosomal RNA", at positions 29 to 507 of the family's 1533-position model. The record is from RNAcentral.